RNAcentral lists this ribosomal RNA (497 nucleotides) under uncultured bacterium. Its description in RNAcentral is "partial 16S ribosomal RNA". It matches the Rfam family "Bacterial small subunit ribosomal RNA", at positions 28 to 507 of the family's 1533-position model. The record is from RNAcentral.
GAUGAACGCUGGCGGCGUGCCUAAUACAUGCAAGUCGAGCGAACGGACGAGAAGCUUGCUUCUCUGAUGUUAGCGGCGGACGGGUGAGUAACACGUGGAUAACCUACCUAUAAGACUGGGAUAACUUCGGGAAACCGGGGCUGAUACCGGAUAAUAUUUUGAACCGCAUGGUUCAAAAGUGAAAGACGGUCUUGCUGUCACUUAUAGAUGGAUCCGCGCUGCAUUAGCUAGUUGGUAAGGUAACGGCUUACCAAGGCAACGAUGCAUAGCCGACCUGAGAGGGUGAUCGGCCACACUGGAACUGAGACACGGUCCAGACUCCUACGGGAGGCAGCAGUAGGGAAUCUUCCGCAAUGGGCGAAAGCCUGACGGAGCAACGCCGCGUGAGUGAUGAAGGUCUUCGGAUCGUAAAACUCUGUUAUUAGGGAAGAACAUAUGUGUAAGUAACUGUGCACAUCUUGACGGUACCUAAUCAGAAAGCCACGGCUAACUACGUG